UUUUAAAUAAGAUAUUAAUAUUAAUAUUAGUUAUUGAAAAUAUUAUUUUUAUUGUUUAUAAUGUUACUAUUUUUUAUUUUAUUUAUUUUUUAAAAAUUUUUUAUUUUUUAAAUUUUUAUUUUUUUAAAAAGUUUUUAUUUUUUAAAAAAGUUUUUUAUUUUUUUUAAAAAGUUUUUAUUUUUUAAAAUUUUUUAUUUUUAAAGUUUUUAUUUUUAAAAAUUUUUAUUUUUUAUUUAAGUUUUUUUAUUAAAAUUAUUUAAUUUAAGAGAAAAUAUUAAAAAUUAAUUAUUAUGCUUAUUUAUUCAUAUAUGUUAUUAUGUAAUUUUUUAAAUUAGUAUAAAAAAUUAAGUUAAUUUAAUAAAAAUUAUUAAAUUUUAAAAAAUAAAUUAAUAAAUAUUGGUUUUAUAAAUAUUUAUAAAUCAAUAUAUAAUUAUAUAUAUAUAUUUAUUAAUAUAAAAUUAAUAUUUAUAUAUAUAUAAUUAUUUAUAAAUUAAUAUAUAAUUAGAGAAUAAAAUAAUAUAUAUAUAUUUAUAUAAUUAUAAAUAUAUAUAAUAUUAUAUAUAUAUAUAUAUAUAUUUUAUUUUAAAUAAAUAAAAUAUAACAAAAAAAAAAAAAAAACUCAUUUUAUUAUUUAUUAUUAAUAUUUAAAUUAAUUAAUAAAAAAAAAUAUUUAUAAUAUAAAAUAGUUAAUUUUAUAUUUAAAAUUUUAUACUAAAUAAUAAAAUUAUAUAUUAAAUACUAUGAAUAAAUAAAAAUUAUAAUAUAUAUAUAUAUAUAUAUAUAUAUAUAUAAAUAUUUUUAUAUAUAUAUAUAUAUA
This 817-nucleotide ribosomal RNA is filed under the name Apis mellifera (honey bee). Its description in RNAcentral is "12S ribosomal RNA". Lineage: Eukaryota; Metazoa; Arthropoda; Insecta; Hymenoptera; Apidae. The record is from RNAcentral.